CCUACGGGUGGCAGCAGUGGGGCAUAUUGCACAAUGGGGGAAACCCUGAUGCAGCGACGCCGCGUGAGUGAGGAAGUAUUUCGGUAUGUACAGCUCUAUCAGCAGGGAAGAAAAUGACGGUACCUAACUAAGAAGCACCGGCUAACUACGUGCCAGCAGCCGCGGUAAUACGUAGGGUGCAAGCGUUAUCCGGAUUUACUGGGUGUAAAGGGAGCGUAGACGGCUAAGCAAGUCAGAAGUGAAAACCCAGGGCUCAACCUUUGGACUGCUUUUGAAACUGAGUAGCUAGAGUGCAGGAGAGGUAAGCGGAAUUCCUAGUGUAGCGGUGAAAUCCGUAGAUAUUAGGAGGAACACGAGUGGCGAAGGCGACCUACUGGACUGUAACUGACGUUGAGGCUCGAAAGCGUGGGGAGCAAACAGGAUUAGAUACCCCUGUAGUC
Molecule: ribosomal RNA, 440 nt
Filed under: uncultured bacterium
Lineage: Bacteria
Description: partial 16S ribosomal RNA
Rfam family: Bacterial small subunit ribosomal RNA
Source: RNAcentral